UGUUGUGGUGUCUCUCUUUAUGUAGUGUUGUGUUGUCUCUCUUUAUGUAGUGUUGUGGUGUCUCUCUUUAUGUAGUGUUGUCUCUCUUUAUGUAGUGUUGUCUCUCUUUAUGUCGUGUUGUCGUCUCUCUUUAUGUAGUGUAGUGUUGUCUCUCUUUAUGUAGUGUUGUGGUGUCUCUCUUUAUGUAGUGUUGUUGUCUCUCUUUAUGUAGUGUUGUGUUGUCUCUCUUUAUGUAGUGUUGUGUUGUCUCUCUUUAUGUAGUGUUGUCUCUCUUUAUGUAGUGUUGUGUUGUCUCUCUUUAUGUAGUGUUGUCUCUCUUUAUGUAGUGUUGUGGUGUCUCUCUUUAUGUAGUGUUGUCUCUCUUUAUGUAGUGUUGUGUUGCCUCUCUUUAUGUAGUGUUGUGGUGUCUC
Oncorhynchus tshawytscha (Chinook salmon) is the source of this 410-nucleotide long non-coding RNA. The record is from Ensembl. Lineage: Eukaryota; Metazoa; Chordata; Actinopteri; Salmoniformes; Salmonidae.